This is a long non-coding RNA of Prionailurus viverrinus (fishing cat), 834 nucleotides long. RefSeq lists it as uncharacterized. NCBI's taxonomy places the organism in Eukaryota, Metazoa, Chordata, Mammalia, Carnivora, Felidae. The record is from RefSeq and is a predicted model, not a curated record. The transcript has 4 exons.
GCGGAGCUCACAGGCGGAGCGCGGCCCGGGAGGCGCGGCGAGGAGGCGGGGCCCUGCCUGGCCCGCCCCGCCUCGGCCCGCAGGGGCAACCGCUGCCCACCGCCCCAGCCCCGGCCCGGCCUGGCCCGGCCCGGCCCGGCGUGGUCGGGAAGGAGGCCGGGCGCCGACGUAUUUCGCCCGUGGAGAGCCAGGGGGGACGCUGAAGCCCGGCGUCGCAGCGGAGGGGCGCCUUCAAGUGCUGCCAGGGCUCCCUGGGGAGCCAGAUGGCAGCGAGAAGGGCGAGUGGGACCGGGAGGUUUCUUCCUCCCGAGGAAGACAGGCUUGAGAACGUCUGUGGAUCGUUGGAUACACCACUGGUGCAGAGGUUCUUCAGAGGAAGCGACACCCUUCUAGCAGCACCAAGGAAAGAAACAGAAGAUGGGUCUCCCAUGUUGAGGCGCCCCCUACCAGGGCAAGGUGAGCCCAAGAAUUACACAGGCAGAACCCUCAACAAGAGCAGGGUUUCCUGGAACGUCUGGAGCAGCAACUCUUGACAGUUUAAAGCCCAUUUUCCCUACCACCUCCACCUCCAACCCUCAGGAAUGGAAAGAUCUUUCUGAGAAGAGGGCUGAUAUCUGUUCAAAAUGUAUUUCUGCUGACCACUGACAUCUGAUGAGAGGGUGAGGGGUAGCCUCUAUCACAAAGCUGUAGGACCUAGAGCUGGGGGGAGGGGGUCUUGGGGCUUCACCGCACUAGCCCUGCCUUUUGGGCUCCAUUUACCAGUCAGGCUGAGGCCCAGGAGACAACGACCUGUCCAGAGAUGGCUGUCUGCUUAUACAUGCAUCUGACGCUCCC